This 253-nucleotide ribosomal RNA is filed under the name uncultured bacterium. RNAcentral's name for it is "partial 16S ribosomal RNA". It matches the Rfam family "Bacterial small subunit ribosomal RNA", at positions 524 to 776 of the family's 1533-position model. The record is from RNAcentral.
UACGAAGGGGGCUAGCGUUGUUCGGAAUCACUGGGCGUAAAGGGCGCGUAGGCGGCUUUAUAAGUCGGGGGUGAAAGCCUGUGGCUCAACCACAGAAUUGCCUUCGAUACUGUAGAGCUUGAGACCGGAAGAGGUAAGUGGAACUGCGAGUGUAGAGGUGAAAUGCGCAGAUAUCAGGAGGAACACCCGUGGCGAAAGCGGCUCUCUGGGACGGUACUGACGCUGAGACGCGAAAGCGUGGGGAGCAAACAGG